RNAcentral lists this ribosomal RNA (194 nucleotides) under uncultured Lactobacillus sp. RNAcentral's name for it is "partial 16S ribosomal RNA". It matches the Rfam family "Bacterial small subunit ribosomal RNA", at positions 338 to 524 of the family's 1533-position model. Lineage: Bacteria; Bacillati; Bacillota; Bacilli; Lactobacillales; Lactobacillaceae. The record is from RNAcentral.
CCUACGGGAGGCAGCAGUAGGGAAUCUUCCACAAUGGACGCAAGUCUGAUGGAGCAACGCCGCGUGAGUGAAGAAGGUCUUCGGAUCGUAAAACUCUGUUGUCAGAGAAGAACGUGCGUGAGAGCAACUGUUCAUGCAGUGACGGUAUCUGACCAGAAAGUCACGGCUAACUACGUGCCAGCAGCCGCGGUAAU